RNAcentral lists this ribosomal RNA (112 nucleotides) under Caerostris darwini. Lineage: Eukaryota; Metazoa; Arthropoda; Arachnida; Araneae; Araneidae. The record is from RNAcentral.
AACGGCCGUACCAUGCUGAAUAUACCGGUUUUCGUUAGAUCACCGAAGUUAAGCAUCAUUGGGCGCGGUCAGUACUUGGAUGGGUGACCACCUGGGAACACUGCGUGCCGUU